Hirundo rustica (Barn swallow) is the source of this 2100-nucleotide long non-coding RNA. RefSeq lists it as uncharacterized. NCBI's taxonomy places the organism in Eukaryota, Metazoa, Chordata, Aves, Passeriformes, Hirundinidae. The transcript is spliced from 3 exons. The record is from RefSeq and is a predicted model, not a curated record.
CCGACAAGAUGUUCGCAGCUGCAUGGAUUCCUCACGUCUCCCCCCGAGCUGGGCUGUCCUUAUCUUUUAUACUAAUUACUACGUAUUUCUUGUUUACUAUUUCUUACCAAUGUCUAUCACUAUUACUAAAAAGGUCAUCUUUACUUUGACCCAAUCCUCACUAACUACUUUGUGCCACGUCAAUGCAGCAGAACUGUCUCCAAGGGAUGUCUCUCCCCUUGGAAACCCUGACUAGGCUGUGGGGGUAUUGCCCAUCCGGAUGUUUGAUUCAAACUGCAGGGACGUCGUUGCACGGCUCCAGGUCCCUUUCCUGCGUCGGCAAAGCCUCCUCAGAACUCCCUCAAAGCGCUUCUUCGACGGAUCCAAGCGCCUCAGCUCCUGCAGCCCCGGAUCCCUGCGCUCUGUGGGCCACGGCCGUGCCUCUGCUGAGCCACCUGCCCCAGGACCUGCCUGACCCUGCAGCUCUGAGCCACCAGAAUGUGUCCUCCAACCCACCGGUGGAUAUUUGGGUUGGCCCUCAGUGAGCAGAGCUCUGCUGCUGCCCUGCCUGAGGCUAACACAGGUGAAGUGAACAGCCCCUCUGCCCCAGGCAUUUUCCCUGAUACCUCCUGGUGCUGAAGGACAGCUCAGACAUCUCAUUAUUCACUGCUGCUGAUGGAGCUCUGGCACCGAGAUCCCAAUGGCUGCUGCUUCCUCAGCCAGGGAUAUUUUGCCAAUGCUGCUCCCUGAAAACUCCAGCUAAAAACUGGGAAAAAACUCUGUCCCCCUUGGAGGUGUAGCUUGUGGAAGAUGCUCCUCCUCUGUUCCAUUCCUCUCAUUCCUGCCCAUGGGGCACACAGUGAGUCGUGCCCUUGCAAACCUGCAUCUCUCUAAAACACAUUUUUCCUUUCUCCAUGCCUGCCAGGAUCGAGGGCAGCUCCGUGGCGGGUUGAUCUGCUGCUGCAUUGACAUGGCAAAGGCUGGGGGUGAAAACCCCACAGCCUCCAGACGAGGCCCAUAGAGCUUUUAGGAUGCAGUUUUCCCAAACUCUGCCCAUCACAAAGCAAACAAAGACCCCCAGCCAGGAGGCAGCUGGCUCAGGGGUGAGCAUCGAUCGCUGGCUGCUGGGUGAGACCCAGGCAGAGCCCCAGCAGGGUCGGGAGGCAGCUCCAGCCCUCCCAGCUUCCAAUCACGGGGCUGGGAAGGAAACCCAGCCUGCUUUGGAAUCAAUCAUUUGACAGCUGCUGUCAGCCUUCUGACACCCAGCCCCGCCGGUGAGGACCCCAGCAGGAAGCCUCGUGGAUCUCAGCUUGUUUUGGUCUUAAUCUGACCCGGUUUUGUGAUAAUGUCAUCAUCCAUCGCUGCCUGGGGUUGUGGGGAGGGGAGGUUAAACUCCUCCCUCGCACUCCAGCGCUCCCCUGCCACUGCUUUAUCUCUGCAGAAGCUGCGUUCGAGUGCAAUUCACUUUGUUAUUAAUUUCUUUUUACACAGAGCCUUUUCAAGUGCCUGGGAGCGGGGCUGGUGUCACGGAGAGGCUGCACAGCCCGGCAGCUGCAGUGCUGGAGUGCCGCUUGAACAGCCAGCUCCUCCAAGGGCAGCAGGCAGAGCUGAGAGCCUGCUCACCCUGCUCACCCUGCACGGUGAAACAGCCCCGUGCAGAUGGGUCUGGACUGCAGGAUUUCUUCUUCAGCAGGUUUCAGGGCUGGAUCAGGGAUGGGAUUGCCUCACCCUCGCACCCCAUGGGGACCUGCUGCACCCUGGGGACAGCUCAGUGACAGAGGCAGAUCAGGGCUGGGUGGCCGUGGCCCGUGUGUGUCCCUUCAGCAGGUGAUGUGUCUCGGUGAGCCCAGGGCUGGAGGAGCGUCUGCAUUGCUGCACUGGCCCUUUCUCAGCUGUGUGGAUCCCCCGUGCCUGCAAUCCCCAGGGAAUCCACCCACACACGGCUGCAUUCCCCGCUGGAGAAAAGCUGGUGGAGGGCCAGCAGCCUGGGGGAGCCUGGGAGGGGGUCCUGAGGUACCCCAAAGGUACCACUGUCCCCCCCAGCCCACGCUGCCACGGCUUGUGCUGGCCCUGGGGACUGGCUGUGCUGGGACCAUUGGUGUGGGUUUUAUGUUCGUUUAA